Chinchilla lanigera (long-tailed chinchilla) is the source of this 1621-nucleotide long non-coding RNA. RefSeq lists it as uncharacterized. NCBI's taxonomy places the organism in Eukaryota, Metazoa, Chordata, Mammalia, Rodentia, Chinchillidae. The transcript has 3 exons. The record is from RefSeq and is a predicted model, not a curated record.
GGGACAGGAGGUGGGGCGCAGGGAGGGAAUCGAGCGUGAAACUGCGUUAUGCGCACGCGCCAGCGCCCGCGAUGAAGGUCCCCUGCUCCCGCCCCGCCUCGCCCUCGAUGGAAUAUGACAGCGAGACAGAUGCAGUCCUGACGUGCACGGCCGCUGGCCACCCUGGGAAGUGUCCAAGAGGCCAGUGCCCGACCGCAUGCCCCACGCUGCACCUGGCCACGCUCACACUCUGCCUGGCAAGCAGCGCCCUGUGUGGCUUCGUUUACAUGAAACACCGAAACAGGCCAAGCCGUAGCAGCGAAGUGGCCUCCAGGCUGCCCGGGGCAGGGCGGGUGGGGAGCCCUGGGAGACAGUGAUUGCUAGCGGCUGUGUUCUAGGGGCUGGUAUUUGUGUGUUGUGUGUGCUGUAUGUUGUUUUCAUUUUGUUGUGUGUGUGUGUCCAUGCAUGUGCACUGGCAUUUUUUGUGUGGUUUUGUUUUUUUAUGGAGUGAUGAAAACGUCCUGAAAUUAUUAUAGGUACAGUUGCGUCCAUCUGAGUAUACUAAAAUCAUCAAAUUGUGCAGCUUAAAUAGUGAAUUGUCGCUGGGCAUGGUGGUACAUGACUGUCAUCCCAGCACUUGGGAGGCUGAGGCAGGAAGAUCGCCAGGAGUUUGAGUCAAGGGGAAAAAAUCCAGUCAAAAGGAAUAAAAGAGUCCAGGACAAAAAGAGAAGGGGUGAUCGGCUCUGCAGGGCAGGGAUCCCAGGGGUGUGCUGGCCUUGGAGGACGCCUGAGGGUGGAGGGGGUUGGGAGAUCGGACCGGUGUGCAGGUGACACAUGGGCCCUGCAGCUGUCCCACACUCCUGCCACCCCAUCUCUCACCUCUGCCACCUCGGCCCUGCCCUCCCCAGGUGCAGCUUGGUGUCCAGGCCUGGCUCAGCCACUCCCCUUGGGGGGCUGGCGAUGUGACUGCACGAAGGAAUUCACUGUGGGUCCCUGGGGAGGGGUCGUACCGCCCCACGCACGCCUGCCACCUGCCAGCGUGAUUUGCUCCAGCGGGAAAUGAACGCAGAGGCCCGGAGGGAGCCGGCCCGCAGCGUCCGGGUUCAUUUCCCCCUGGUACGGGAGCAGAGCUGCCCCAGGUACAGGCCAGGCCCACAUCCCUGCGGCCGGGACCCACGGGGCUGAGGAGAGAUGGAUCUGGGACUUUAAGCCCGGGGGACUCGGGGGUAAGAGCGUCCCAUGACGUGACUUCACAUAACUCACGUCAGCCUCGUUCCCAGGGCCGCAUGCAGCCCAAAUGUGCCAACCGGGGGACCCGAGCGGCCGCCUCUGCAGCCUCCCCGGCCGGGCUGGGCGCAGGCUGCGCCUGCUGAGCCCGCAGCGGGACUCGGUUUACUCCCGGGCGCGUCCAACCCGCCCUGCACCGGGCCUCGUCCCCAGCGCCUGCACCCGACCGCUCGUCCCGGUCUCCCACGCUCCCCCGCUCCUCCUCCCCGCGUGUGUGCGGGUGGUGCUGGUGGUUGGGAUUGUUACACGUUCUCACCGUUGUCCAGGCCGACUUCAGUCAAACCCUGUGUAGCUUGAAUUGCCGGCCUUGAACUCUCCAUCUUCCUGCCUCAGCCUUCACUAAAUCCCAAGCCCG